RNAcentral lists this ribosomal RNA (195 nucleotides) under uncultured bacterium. RNAcentral's name for it is "partial 16S ribosomal RNA". It matches the Rfam family "Bacterial small subunit ribosomal RNA", at positions 338 to 525 of the family's 1533-position model. The record is from RNAcentral.
CCUACGGGAGGCAGCAGUGGGGAAUUUUGGACAAUGGGGGCAACCCUGAUCCAGCAAUGCCGCGUGUGUGAAGAAGGCCUUCGGGUUGUAAAGCACUUUUGUCCGGAAAGAAAUCGCCCUGGUUAAUACCUGGUGUGGAUGACGGUACCGGAAGAAUAAGGACCGGCUAACUACGUGCCAGCAGCCGCGGUAAUA